UGAGGAAUAUUGGACAAUGGGCGCAAGCCUGAUCCAGCCAUGCCGCGUGCAGGAUGACGGUCCUAUGGAUUGUAAACUGCUUUUUGUACAGGAAGAAACAGUUCUACGUGUAGAACCUUGACGGUACUGUAAGAAUAAGGAUCGGCUAACUCCGUGCCAGCAGCCGCGGUAAUACGGAGGAUCCAAGCGUUAUCCGGAAUCAUUGGGUUUAAAGGGUCCGUAGGCGGUUAGAUAAGUCAGUGGUGAAAGCCCAUCGCUCAACGGUGGAACGGCCAUUGAUACUGUCUGACUUGAAUUAUUAGGAAGUAACUAGAAUAUGUAGUGUAGCGGUGAAAUGCUUAGAGAUUACAUGGAAUACCAAUUGCGAAGGCAGGUUACUACUAAUGGAUUGACGCUGAUGGACGAAAGCGUGGGUAGCGAACAGGAUUAGAUACCCAAGUAGUCCCUGAGCGGGCUGGCAAGGCGCAU
This 468-nucleotide ribosomal RNA is filed under the name uncultured bacterium. Its description in RNAcentral is "bacterial SSU rRNA". It matches the Rfam family "Bacterial small subunit ribosomal RNA", at positions 355 to 825 of the family's 1533-position model. The record is from RNAcentral.